GACGAACGCUGGCGGCGUGCUUAACACAUGCAAGUCGAACGGAAAGGCCCUGCUUUUGUGGGGUGCUCGAGUGGCGAACGGGUGAGUAACACGUGAGUAACCUGCCCUUGACUUUGGGAUAACUUCAGGAAACUGGGGCUAAUACCGGAUAGGAGCUCCUGCUGCAGGGUGGGGGUUGGAAAGUUUCGGCGGUUGGGGAUGGACUCGCGGCUUAUCAGCUUGUUGGUGGGGUAGUGGCGUACCAAGGCUUUGACGGGUAGCCGGCCUGAGAGGGUGACCGGCCACAUUGGGACUGAGCUACGGCCCAGACUCCUACGGGAGGCAGCAGUGGGGAAUAUUGCACAAUGGGCGGAAGCCUGAUGCAACAACGCCGCGUGCGGGAUGACGGCCUUCGGGUUGUAAACCGCUUUCGCCUGUGACGAAGCGUGAGUGACGGUAAUGGGUAAAGAAGCACCGGCUAACUACGUG
RNAcentral lists this ribosomal RNA (468 nucleotides) under uncultured bacterium. RNAcentral's name for it is "partial 16S ribosomal RNA". It matches the Rfam family "Bacterial small subunit ribosomal RNA", at positions 28 to 507 of the family's 1533-position model. The record is from RNAcentral.